GAUGAAGAACGUAGCGAAAUGCGAUAAGUAAUGUGAAUUACAGAAUUCAGUGAAUCAUCGAGUCUUUGAACGCACAUUGCGCCCCCUGGUAUUCCGGGGGGCAUGCCUGUCCGAGCGUCAUUGCUGCCCUCAAGCACGGCUUGUGUGUUGGGCCCCCGUCCCCGGUUUCCCCCGGGGACGGGCCCGAAAGGCAGCGGCGGCACCGCGUCCGGUCCUCGAGCGUAUGGGGCUUUGUCACCCGCUCUGUAGGCCCGGCCGGCGCCAGCCGACACCCAACUUUAUUUCUAAGGUUGACCUCGGAUCAGGUAGGGAUACCCGCUGAACUUAAGCAUAUCAAUAAGCGGAGGA
RNAcentral lists this unclassified non-coding RNA (348 nucleotides) under soil metagenome. Its description in RNAcentral is "partial contains 5.8S ribosomal RNA, internal transcribed spacer 2, and large subunit ribosomal RNA". The stretch from base 1 to 120 matches the Rfam family "5.8S ribosomal RNA", at positions 35 to 154 of the family's 154-position model. The record is from RNAcentral.